CUCUUCCUCGCCUGUUGCCUGGACGACUCCGGCUGGAACAAAGACACAGACUGUGACUGGUCAGAAGCUCCAGACAUGGGAAGGUGGCGGCGGAGUAUAGCCUCUGCACCAUACUUCCCCACCAUCCCAUCAUCCACCAGGAGGAAGUGAGAGUGCAGACUGUUGAGCACGUUCAGCUUGCUCAAGGGGUUCAGCAGCGUCUGAUAUGGCGUGACCACCUGAACACAGAGGACCACAAACCAGGAUCCAGGCCCCCGUGGUGACCGCUGCCUUGACCAGCCCCUUUCCCACCACCUGCUUGAGCCGAGGGUGGAGGUCAAAGUUCUGGACGCCCCCGUGGACGGAGAUGACUAACUUUGGAAGCUCCAUUUGCCACUCUUUGAGCAGGAGCUGGAGGAUGGACUCGGGUUUGGAGUCGUAGGACAGGCGCACAUACUGUGACCAAAACACAAGACAGAGAGGUUCAGAGUCCACCACGACCAGUAGCAUGUACCUACUGUACCCUGGGUUAAGCACAAUGGUUUACCUUGUGCUGUCAAUAACUGACUGUAUUGAACCAAUCAAGACCAUGCUCCGCAAAGAAAAGCACUAUGAUUGGUUCAGAUCAGUUGCCAGGAGACAUCAGCUUCAUCCCAUUCUGGAGUUUUUGGAAGACUCAGUCAAUGUCAUAGUCAUUGUCACACUUCAUUAUUUACCAAAGCUCUACAGUAAGGAAACUUCCCUAUAAAAAAAAUAAUCAAGUGUUUGUUGGAGGUACACUACCUGGUGUUUUCUUAGAAUGUCAAAACACUUCUCAGUCAUAGUGGUGUUCAUUUACACACAGCUAAAACUGAGAUUAGAUUAGAUUAAAUCAGGUAUGCUUACUAAAGGACAAUUAUGAGAUUAUUAUACAGUUUCACAGGGCAAGAAAAGAGGUGCUUCAAAAAUUGCCAUUGGUUAUCUGUAAGACCCUGGAAAUGUCAGCAGUUCAGGUGAACGGGAAGUAGGAUUUUGACCUUGAGUUUGACCCUUUGACCCUCCCCGAAUCUGGACUCUGACCUUUGCUCUGUAAGAAUGGGAUCCACCCUGGAAGUUGAGAAUGCCAUACGCGUCAGUGGGGCGCUCCUCCGUGUGCUUCUCCACAGACCACUCCUCCAGCUCGGGCAUGCCACCCUCACCCAUCCUCAGCUCUGAAUACUGCAUGGCCAGGCUGGCAGUGAAGCCCGCAUGCUGCCUCACCAGCCGUCCACAGCAGCACCUGGGACACAGACCGUCCAGAACCGCUUCAGUACACUGCAAAAGUCACGCUGCCAUUCCCUCAUCAACAAGCCUAGUGACAGGAAUUAGAUCAACUCUCUGUCCACUACACCACACUCACAAUCAUUUACCAACACACAAUGACCAAUGAGUGAAGACUUCACCAUACAGAAUGCUUGGAUUAAUGCAAAGCACAUUCUUCCUUUCACCAGACAUCCAAAUUCAGGUUAAAAGUUAGUGAGGAGAUAAAGUGAGGCUUCACGAGGCCCAGAACAGUUGUAAUGAGCUGCCAACCACUGAGGUGUUUUGCCUCCAUAGAAAGUAUGACUGGCACAAACCAUUGAGUCACUGAUUACACACAAGAGCAUAAGAAUAUAUAAUGAUGAAAUCAAGGCAUUAAACUCAUUAAUGACCAUCCAGUGCAAUUACCCUGGCUCAUUGUAUACACUAAUGCUGUUUCACUUGUUGAUUUGACUCCAAAAAAUAAACACAAAAAUAAACAAAAAUGUCAGAUCAUACAAAUAAUUGGGAUAAAUCAUUUAAGACAAGAAAUCCAGAAAUGGAUACGGACCUUCGGAAACACUGUUCCCCACCCCUGGUCUAGAGAAUGUCCAGCACUGUAUUAAGCCUAGACUUGAGCAUUCUCAGUGUCCCUGCCUCGACUACAUGACAUAGCAAGUUGUUCCAUGCAAUAAACAACUUUCUGGUGGCUUUGCCCAUUUUGGGGCUCAUGACAUCUCACCAAACCAAGACAAACGUAAUCUAGCCUUCUCAGAAGCUGUCCAGGCUCACCUCACAAGCUGCUGGCAAAUCUGACAUCCUGGGAGACACCUGGAAAGAAAAAUUUAAAUCGAGUCAUGCCUUUCUGGUAAAUCAAUAACAGUCUUGGGAAUCUGGAAACUUGGGAAUUUAAUGCAAAGAGGGGAUAGUUCUCUCGUGUCCUGCCAAAAUUUCACACAUCUGAACUGUCAUGUGGGUUUUCAUUUCAACCCUAAUCCCGCUUGAAGACGCUUAGUGUUCAGAGAAAUGUGGGCUACGACUAAUUUAUUUAACCCUACAUUGCGCUAAUAUCAAAGUGACCGACGAACAGUCGGUUUAAUAGGUUUAACCUUUUCCCUCCACCAGACACCCGCAUCCAAUAAUAGUGAGUGCAUUUUUGUAAGUGCCCAAUCAUAGCUACCAGUGUCUUGUCUUUGACUACCUGUGAAAUCUGAUUUGCUGAGAUUAAUUUUGUAGCUGAAGGCAAACGAAUUAAUCAACUCGAGUGAACUGAGAAAAGACGCUCACCAGUUCUUUUUACGAAAUAAAAUUGCCUAUAGAAGUGUCCAAACUGAAAGUGAACAUUAACUCUCCACGCGUACUUGAAGGAAAUUCCCCGAGAAUUUCCCCGAGGUGCACUGAAACGCCAGCGGUGGAA
Anguilla anguilla (European eel) is the source of this 2653-nucleotide long non-coding RNA. RefSeq lists it as uncharacterized. Lineage: Eukaryota; Metazoa; Chordata; Actinopteri; Anguilliformes; Anguillidae. The record is from RefSeq and is a predicted model, not a curated record. The transcript is spliced from 4 exons.